Molecule: long non-coding RNA, 451 nt
Filed under: Homo sapiens (human)
Lineage: Eukaryota; Metazoa; Chordata; Mammalia; Primates; Hominidae
Description: non-protein coding lnc-POU3F3-19:1
Source: RNAcentral
AUUAAAAAGUCAGGAAACAACAGGUGCUGGAGAGGAUGUGGAGAAAUAGGAACACUUUUACACUGUUGGUGGGACUGUAAACUAGUUCAACCAUUGUGGAAGUCAGUGUGGAGAUUCCUUAGGGAUCUAGAACUAGAAAUACCAUUUGGCCCAGCCAUCCCAUUACUGGGUAAUGAAAAUGGUUGUUUAAACAUGAGCAGCAUAGGAAGAACAACCAUGUGAUAAGUAACAGGUGCUGGCAGUAAACCAGGUGGGGAUGGCAGAGCAGGGAAAGUUGAGGCACAGGGAUGGUGUCAAUGAAUGAGUUGGAUAUGGGGGAGAGAUUAUUUAAGUGUAUUUUGGACAAGAGAAGCAGGUUCUUCACUGUUUGAAAAGGGAGGUACAUAUAAGAGUGAAAACUAAAAUGUAUCCUAGAAUGUUGAAUUGAUAGAGAUAUCAAUAUUAAUUCAUU